AAGGAGAUGGAGUUUGCACACUUGGUCCAAGGGGACAUGACUGUAUCAGAAUAUACUCGAAAGUUCUUAGAGUUGGGCUAGUAUUUCCCUAAGAGCAUGAUGAAUGAAGGAAGGAAUGCAAGAAAGUUCGAGUGGGGUCUCUGUCUUGAGAUUAGACAACAGUUAUAUGUGUUCGAGCUCAGUAUUUACUCAGCUGUUCUGGCCAAGGCACAGUCGGUGGAGAGGAACCUUUGCAUUUUUUCUCAAGUAGUAGGGAACCUCAGGCCCUCAGCUUCACUUCGCAAACUAGCACCUACUGCACCUGUUCAACAGAACAAGAGACC
RNAcentral lists this long non-coding RNA (323 nucleotides) under Carica papaya (papaya). RNAcentral's name for it is "long non-coding RNA (CPAP_LNC005937)". The record is from RNAcentral. Lineage: Eukaryota; Viridiplantae; Streptophyta; Magnoliopsida; Brassicales; Caricaceae.